ACUUUGGUGGUCCAGCGGUAGAAUUCUCACCUUCCAUGUGGAAGACCUGGGUUUGAUUUCCAGCCAAUGUA
Molecule: transfer RNA, 71 nt
Filed under: Loxodonta africana (African savanna elephant)
Lineage: Eukaryota; Metazoa; Chordata; Mammalia; Proboscidea; Elephantidae
Rfam family: tRNA
About the family: Transfer RNA (tRNA) molecules are approximately 80 nucleotides in length. Their secondary structure includes four short double-helical elements and three loops (D, anti-codon, and T loops).
Source: Rfam by way of RNAcentral